RNAcentral lists this ribosomal RNA (433 nucleotides) under uncultured bacterium. RNAcentral's name for it is "partial 16S ribosomal RNA". It matches the Rfam family "Bacterial small subunit ribosomal RNA", at positions 29 to 507 of the family's 1533-position model. The record is from RNAcentral.
AACGAACGCUGGCGGCAUGCCUAACACAUGCAAGUCGAACGAAAGCUUCGGCCUUGGUGGCGCACAGGGGCGUAACGCGGGGGAAUCUGCACGUAGGUUCGGGAUAACAGCUGGAAACGGCUGCUAAUACCGGGUGAUGUCGAAAGUCACAAGAUUGAACGCCCGAGUUUGAGCCCGCGUUGGUUUAGGUAGGUGGGAGGGUAAGGGCCUACCAAGCCGUCGAUCCAUAGCUGGGCUGAGAGGAUGAGCCGCCACGCUGCGACUGAGCCGCGGCCCAGACUACUACGCGAGGCAGCAGUGGGGAAUAUUGGACUAUGGGCGCAAGCCUGAUCCAGCUAGGCUGGGUGAGUGAUGAAGGCCCUAGGGUUGUAAAGCUCUUUUACCCGGGAAGAUAAUGACGGUACCGGGAGAAUAAGCCCCGGCUAACUCCGUG